GGGGCCGACUUGGCUUCGACGUGGGUUGCAAAGCAGCGCAGUGCAUACCGAGGACCAGUCACCUCGUAAAUCCAUCUGGAAAUCAACAAACGCCAACGACGAACGUUUCGUUCUAGCCGCUUAAUCCCGGUUAGCGCUGCACCGGCAGGUCUCUGGGCCGGGUGGUCUUAGCGUAAGCUGAGCCGCUGCAGUGUCAUUUACAGAGACUCGCGAGUUGCGCCGGGUCACUUGGCGCAACAGCUAAAGGUAAGGUGACUCGCUCCUGUCCGGCCUGCCGACCGGCUAAGGCAGGAGCUAAACCAAAUAGGUCGGCUAAGUAUGUAGAGCUGUCUGUGGAGGGCUUGCGGACGGGGGUUCAAUUCCCCCCGGCUCCACCA
Molecule: non-coding RNA, 377 nt
Organism: Azoarcus sp. CIB
Lineage: Bacteria; Pseudomonadati; Pseudomonadota; Betaproteobacteria; Rhodocyclales; Zoogloeaceae
Source: Rfam